UAGUUGACGUCCUGGCUACGAGACGACGCUGGCGGCGUGCCUAACACAUGCAAGUCGAACGGGGAUUUUGUUUCGGCAGAAUCCCAGUGGCGAACGGGUGAGUAACGCGUAGGCAACCUGCCCCCCGGAUUGGGACAACACCCCGAAAGGGGUGCUAAUACCGGAUACGAAGAUAGCACCGCAUGGUGAUAUUUUGAAAGAUGGCCUCUGUUUACAAGCUAUCGCCGGGGGAUGGGCCUGCGUCCGAUUAGCUGGUUGGUGGGGUAACGGCCUACCAAGGCGACGAUCGGUAGCCGGUCUGAGAGGAUGAACGGCCACAUUGGGACUGAGACACGGCCCAGACUCCUACGGGAGGCAGCAGUGGGGAAUCUUCCGCAAUGGGCGAAAGCCUGACGGAGCAACGCCGCGUGGGUGAGGAAGUUCUUCGGAACGUAAAGCCCUGUUGUACAUGACGAACGUGCUUUCUAUCAACAACGGGAAGCAAUGACGGUAGUGUACGAGGAAGCCACGGCUAACUACGUGCC
This 524-nucleotide ribosomal RNA is filed under the name uncultured organism. Its description in RNAcentral is "SSU rRNA". It matches the Rfam family "Bacterial small subunit ribosomal RNA", at positions 9 to 509 of the family's 1533-position model. The record is from RNAcentral.